This 468-nucleotide ribosomal RNA is filed under the name uncultured bacterium. Its description in RNAcentral is "partial 16S ribosomal RNA". It matches the Rfam family "Bacterial small subunit ribosomal RNA", at positions 28 to 507 of the family's 1533-position model. The record is from RNAcentral.
GGUGAACGCUGGCGGCGUGCUUAACACAUGCAAGUCGAACGGUGAAGGCGGAGCUUGCUCUGCUGGAUCAGUGGCGAACGGGUGAGUAACACGUGAGCAAUCUGCCCCUGACUCUGGGAUAAGCGCUGGAAACGGCGUCUAAUACUGGAUACGAGCUGCGAAGGCAUCUUCAGCAGCUGGAAAGAAUUUCGGUCAGGGAUGAGCUCGCGGCCUAUCAGCUUGUUGGUGAGGUAAUGGCUCACCAAGGCGUCGACGGGUAGCCGGCCUGAGAGGGUGACCGGCCACACUGGGACUGAGACACGGCCCAGACUCCUACGGGAGGCAGCAGUGGGGAAUAUUGCACAAUGGGCGAAAGCCUGAUGCAGCAACGCCGCGUGAGGGACGACGGCCCUCGGGUUGUAAACCUCUUUUAGCAGGGAAGAAGCGAAAGUGACGGUACCUGCAGAAAAAGCGCCGGCUAACUACGUG